GACGAACGCUGGCGGCGUGCUUAACACAUGCAAGUCGAACGGAAAGGCCCUGCUUUUGUGGGGUGCUCGAGUGGCGAACGGGUGAGUAACACGUGAGUAACCUGCCCUUGACUUUGGGAUAACUUCAGGAAACUGGGGCUAAUACCGGAUAGGAGCUCCUGCUGCAUGGUGGGGGUUGGAAAGUUUCGGCGGUUGGGGAUGGACUCGCGGCUUAUCAGCUUGUUGGUGGGGUAGUGGCUUACCAAGGCUUUGACGGGUAGCCGGCCUGAGAGGGUGACCGGCCACAUUGGGACUGCGAUACGGCCCAGACUCCUCCGGCAGGCAGCAGUCGGGCAUAUUGCACCAUGGGCGGACGCCUGAUGCAGCAACGCCGCGUGCGGGAUGACGGCCUUCGGGUUGUAAACCGCUUUAGCCUGUGACGAAGCGUGAGUGACGGUAAUGGGUCAAGAAGCACCGGCUAACUACGUG
RNAcentral lists this ribosomal RNA (468 nucleotides) under uncultured bacterium. RNAcentral's name for it is "partial 16S ribosomal RNA". It matches the Rfam family "Bacterial small subunit ribosomal RNA", at positions 28 to 507 of the family's 1533-position model. The record is from RNAcentral.